Long non-coding RNA from Saccostrea cuccullata (small rock oyster), 1668 nucleotides. RefSeq lists it as uncharacterized. The transcript has 3 exons. NCBI's taxonomy places the organism in Eukaryota, Metazoa, Mollusca, Bivalvia, Ostreida, Ostreidae. The record is from RefSeq and is a predicted model, not a curated record.
CUUAUAUCAUUAUGCGAGAAUUCAGAGACAACAUUCAAACAAUUAUAUUUAAUGUACAAAAUGUAGCGAUUUCGGUCAUUGGGAUUAGUGGGGACAGAAUAGGUCGAAGUAUGGACUUUAGAGUGCUAGAAGAGGAGAUUCAAAGGAACCGACCACAGAAUCUAACUUUACAUAUUGCGGGAAACGAUAUCGAUCAGCCGCAGGCUGAUGAGGAUUCGGUUAGGGAGAUUGUGUCAAAAAUAAUGGCGACAUGUGACUUGUUUUUAAACCGGUAUCAUUUAAAUAAGAUAUAUGUGUGUCAGUCGUUACCAAGAUAUUCCACAAGACACUGCCGAGUUGUUUUAUAUAAUAAGUAUUGUAAAUAGUCUUGGCAAAUCAACUUUGAAAAGAAGAAGUUAAAAACAGAAGGCAGGUUGUGUACUGGAAGUUAAAGGGCUUGAAGAACUCUGUAGUGAAUAACUUUUGUGAUUAGGGCAAUCAGGGGUGCUGUGAUACAUAGUACAAGUGAUAGCUAUAUAAAUAGUUUGUAUGUCAUUUAGCCAUAUAACAAUUAUGGUUAAUUUGCAUCUCAAGUUUAUGAAACAGGCAAUACAUGUAUAUGUACUUUAGCCUUAGUACCCUAGUGACUUAGAACAGCUUACAAAACGGGUAUUAAUGAUUUAAAAAAAAAGAAAAAAGCUUAUUAUGCAUAUAUGACACAAUGUUAUACUUUCAGCAGUUUUCUGUUUAAUCACAUAUUAGAUGCAUUGUAGAGAGCCAGUCCAAGAGUGGGAAAUACAGAAAGGGACACUUGUGAUCAAGCAUUUAUUUUUACUUAGAACAAGAUGAGUACCGGUAAUAGGCCUACAGACUAUGGGGGUGGUUACAAAGCCAGUUAAUUUACAACAAGAGGAAGUCGCAAGUGACACUCCAACAAGCAACAAUCAUUCAAGCCAAUUAGAAGAUGGCAAUUUUACCAAGUAAUUCAGGAAAGAGGACAUUGGCUUAGAAAAACAUUUUCAACCAUGAUGACAGGAGCAUCUGGUUGUAUCAAGUAGUAAAGUUUUGAUGUAAUUAUGCAUCAAGUGUGACACAUUAUCUGUUUCAGGAAAGAGGACAUUGGCUCAGAAAAACAUUUUCAACCAUGAUGACAGGAGCAUCUGGUUCUAUCAAGAAGUAGUGAAGUUUUGAUGUAAUUAUGCAUCUAACAAAGUUUGUGUACAUGCAUAAUAAUAUGGUAUUGUUUUACAAGAGUUGAAAUAGUUUCUUUGUAUGUUGGUAAUGUGUUAUUUUUCAUUGUUUGUAUCCAGUUUGUAUGAAUUUUAGGGAUACUUCUAUUGUAGUAAGAUUAAGACUCGCACUAAGGAUUGGGUGGGGAUUACUGCUGAUGACAGUUCAGAUCUGCCUGUCAUUGGCAGUAAGUGGCAUUUUUACCUUACCCCACCUUUGAUGUAAAAAUUUUAUACAGUAAUGUUUUGAUCUAUUUGGAAGUUGCAUGUAGUGAUAUUGGUAUCACUGCAAGGUUUAUAAAUGUAAAUCUAUCAAACUACAUUUUCAUUUUUGUACUAGUUUUACAAAAUUGUCAUUUGAUAAUAAAUGACCUUUUUCAACUUCAAACGGUGUUGUGUUGGUAUCAGAUAGUGUAAUAUUACAUCAAACAGGGCAACCUUUAGUGCGAGUAUGAGGAAG